Molecule: ribosomal RNA, 476 nt
Filed under: uncultured organism
Description: partial 16S ribosomal RNA
Rfam family: Bacterial small subunit ribosomal RNA
Source: RNAcentral
CACUCCUGCGGGAGGCAGCAGUGGGGAAUUUUGGACAAUGGGCGAAAGCCUGAUCCAGCAAUGCCGCGUGCAGGAUGAAGGCCUUCGGGUUGUAAACUGCUUUUGUACGGAACGAAAAAGCUCCUUCUAAUACAGGGGGCCCAUGACGGUACCGUAAGAAUAAGCACCGGCUAACUACGUGCCAGCAGCCGCGGUAAUACGUAGGGUGCGAGCGUUAAUCGGAAUUACUGGGCGUAAAGCGUGCGCAGGCGGUUAUGUAAGACAGAUGUGAAAUCCCCGGGCUCAACCUGGGAACUGCAUUUGUGACUGCAUGGCUAGAGUACGGUAGAGGGGGAUGGAAUUCCGCGUGUAGCAGUGAAAUGCGUAGAUAUGCGGAGGAACACCGAUGGCGAAGGCAAUCCCCUGGACCUGUACUGACGCUCAUGCACGAAAGCGUGGGGAGCAAACAGGAUUAGAUACCCGGGUAGUCCCAUGAU